AAUGAACGCUGGCGGCAUGCCUUACACAUGCAAGUCGAACGGCAGCAUGACCUAGCUUGCUAGGUUGAUGGCGAGUGGCGAACGGGCGAGUAAUGCAUCGGAACGUGCCUUUUAGUGGGGGAUAACGUAGCGAAAGUUACGCUAAUACCGCAUAUUCUCUGAGGAGGAAAGCAGGGGACCUUCGGGCCUUGCGCUAGAAGAGCGGCCGAUGUCGGAUUAGCUAGUUGGUGAGGUAAAGGCUCACCAAGGCAACGAUCCGUAGCGGGUCUGAGAGGAUGAUCCGCCACACUGGGACUGAGACACGGCCCAGACUCCUACGGGAGGCAGCAGUGGGGAAUUUUGGACAAUGGGCGCAAGCCUGAUCCAGCCAUGCCGCGUGAGUGAAGAAGGCCUUCGGGUUGUAAAGCUCUUUCGGCUGGGAAGAAAUCGCACCCUCUAAUACAGGGUGUGGAUGACGGUACCAGCAUAAGAAGCACCGGCUAACUACGUG
RNAcentral lists this ribosomal RNA (490 nucleotides) under uncultured bacterium. RNAcentral describes it as "partial 16S ribosomal RNA". It matches the Rfam family "Bacterial small subunit ribosomal RNA", at positions 29 to 507 of the family's 1533-position model. The record is from RNAcentral.